UGGUGUGGGGACACGUUUUAAAGGACGCUAUCCGAUCGUCUCGGGAGAAAGCAGGGGACCUUCGGGCCUUGCGCUAUCAGAUGAGCCUAGGUCGGAUUAGCUAGUUGGUUGAGGUAAUGGCUCACCAAGGCGACGAUCCGUAACUGGUCUGAGAGGAUGAUCAGUCACACUGGAACUGAGACACGGUCCAGACUCCUACGGGAGGCAGCAGUGGGGAAUAUUGGACAAUGGGCGAAAGCCUGAUCCAGCCAUGCCGCGUGUGUGAAGAAGGUCUUCGGAUUGUAAAGCACUUUAAGUUGGGAGGAAGGGUUGUAGAUUAAUACUCUGCAAUUUUGACGUUACCGACAGAAUAAGCACCGGCUUACUCUGUGCCAGCAGCCGCGGUAAUACAGAGGGUGCAAAGCCGUUAUUCGGAAAUUACUGGGCCGUAAAGCGCCUCGUAGGUGGUUCGUUAAGUUGGAUGUGAAAAUCCCCCGGGCUCAAACUUGGGAACUGCAUUCCAAAACUUGGCAAGCUAUAAUGUUGGUAUAAGGGUGGGUGGAAAUUUCCUUGUUAUACCGGUGAAACUCCGUAAAUUUUUGGAAGGGAACNCCC
This 594-nucleotide ribosomal RNA is filed under the name bacterium A15. Its description in RNAcentral is "bacterial SSU rRNA". It matches the Rfam family "Bacterial small subunit ribosomal RNA", at positions 146 to 711 of the family's 1533-position model. The record is from RNAcentral.